AGAGUUUGAUUCUGGCUCAGAACGAACGCUGGCGGCGUGUUUAAGACAUGCAAGUUGAACGGGGAAUCUUUGGAGCUUGCUUUGAGGAUUCCUAGUGGCGCACGGGUGAGUAACACGUGAGUAACAUGCCCUGUAGAGGGGAAUAGCCCACCGAAAGGUGGAUUAAUACCCCAUAGUCCCGCAAGGGUAAAGGUGGCUUCGGCUGCCGCUACAGGAUUGGCUCGCGUCCUAUCAGUUUGUUGGUGAGGUAACGGCUCACCAAGACUACGACGGGUAGCUGGUCUGAGAGGACGAUCAGUCACACUGGAACUGAGACACGGUCCAGACACCUACGGGUGGCAGCAGUCGAGAAUAAUUCACAAUGGACGAAAGUCUGAUGGUGCAACGCCGCGUGGAGGAUGACGGUCUUAGGAUUGUAAACUCCUGUCAUCCGGGAGAAAGACCUGGGAGUUAAUAGCUCACAGGGUUGAUAGUACCGGAAGAGGAAGGGACGGCUAACUUCGUGCCAGCAGCCGCGGUAAUACGAAGGUCCCAAGCGUUGUUCGGAAUCACUGGGCGUAAAGGGAGCGUAGGCGGCGCGGUAAGUCGGAUGUGAAAUCCCGAGGCUCAACCUCGGAACUGCAUCUGAUACUGCCGUGCUAGAGUAAUGGAGGGGUAGCUGGAAUUCUCGGUGUAGCAGUGAAAUGCGUAGAUAUCGAGAGGAACACUCGUGGCGAAAGCGAGCUACUGGACAUUUACUGACGCUGAGGCUCGAAGGCUAGGGGAGCGAAAGGGAUUAGAUACCCCUGUAGUCCUAGCAGUAAACGGUGCACGCUUGGUGUGAGGGGUUUCGACCCCCCUUGUGCCGGAGCUAACGCGUUAAGCGCACCGCCUGGGAAGUACGGUCGCAAGACUAAAACUCAAAGAAAUUGACGGGGACCC
RNAcentral lists this ribosomal RNA (921 nucleotides) under marine sediment metagenome. RNAcentral's name for it is "bacterial SSU rRNA". It matches the Rfam family "Bacterial small subunit ribosomal RNA", at positions 8 to 922 of the family's 1533-position model. The record is from RNAcentral.